AACUCUCUACAGCCUAAAAAAAAAAACCAACUUCACAAGCACAGCUCAUUUGGAUUUAUGCAGACAUAUGAAAAUUUUGUAUUGCAGAGCUACCUUCUGAUUUCUUCUCCACACUCCAUAGAUACUGAAGAGUCAAGAUUAAUGGCGCUCUAACCUUCUCAAAGCACCCAAGUUCUGGCAGUGCUCCACUCAACCCCACCCCUCCUGCUGAUAUCCUUCUGGCAGAAGCAAGGGGUGGCCGAGAGCCUUCAAAACAGUUCCCCACAACUUUUUCACAGCUUCUAUUACCUCUUCUGAAUGCAUCUGGAAAGGUACAGAUGAAGAGAGAAUACCUCCACAAGUCUACUGGAUCUAGAUGGCAUAAUUACAGAAGAGUAAGAGGAUGAGUCCCAGACCUGAACAACUGGUAAAUAUUUCAGAUACCAAUAUCAACUUCUUAGCCAGGCAACAGGGAAAGGAGCAAAAUAGGAUUUCUCAAGCAACCAGAUGUUCCACAAAGCACUGAGAGGUAGGCAGAUGUUUGCUACAUUAAACUUGCCUCUAAGAAAACAAUGGGAGAACAUUUUAAAAUUCUUAUGCAAAUUUCACUCAUUCAACUCUUUCUCAGAGGCCUGGGGACAAUGAAAAAAAUAAAAAGGAAGAUAAUUCACAUGCUCAUCUCAAUAUGGUACUCAUCA
This is a long non-coding RNA of Gallus gallus (chicken), 677 nucleotides long. RefSeq lists it as uncharacterized. The transcript is spliced from 3 exons. Lineage: Eukaryota; Metazoa; Chordata; Aves; Galliformes; Phasianidae. The record is from RefSeq and is a predicted model, not a curated record.